AAACACCUGAGGGCACAGUGGAGAGGCUGCAGUGGCCUGGGUCUCCUCAGCCUGUGAGCAGAGCAGCACAGAGGAGUCCCUGGCAGAGCAGGAGUGAAUGAAUUUGCACUGUACAGCUGCUUUCCAGACCCCAGUGCUCUCACUGCCUGAAUCCCAGCGGCAGCCUCCAGACCCCACUGGAGGACAAGCUCAGUCCUGCCAGGAAAGCAAAUCUCCUUGGAGAGGCCAAUCCUCAGGGCAGAGGGGGCAAUGACACAGAUGCUCUCUGUCAUUCCCCAGGGCUCCCAGCCAGCCAAUGCCUUCUCUCACUUCUUGGCCAGCCCCACCCCGAGAUGUCUCACACUCACCCACUGCUCCCUCUCCACAUGUCUUUGGGCAGCUACCAGGGGCAGGUUGCUGUGAGGGUAGGGGCAUUUCCUUCCAUGGUUCCCUGCUGGUACUUUGUGGCCAUGCUGGCCCCUCUGGUGUUAGCCCUGGAACGGUCUCCAGACAUGGUGAUAAAAGAAGGCCAGUCCAUGAAUCUGGAAUGUUCCAAGAAGAAAUACGCCAGCACAGCUAUGUAUUGGUUUGUGCUGCCUUCAGAGAAGAAUUCCAGUCUGACCCUACUGGCUUCUGCAGUACAAGGCUGGGCCCUUCAGCAAUCACCAGAUACAAUCGUCCGGGUGGGAGACACCGUGACUCUGGAAUGUUCUGCAUCAGGGAAAAACGUUAUAUAUAUGUACUGGUACAAGCUACCCAUGGAGAAGGAUGCCAGUAUGCAGUUGGUUGUAUAUUCCGUGGAAGGUGGCAAAGCAGAUAUUGAGAAGGAAUUCAAAAAUCGCUUCCAGAGCAGUGGGACUAGGAACAACCAUUUAUCUGUGAAGAUACAGCCUGCCCUCCUCAAUGACACAGGCACAUAUUACUGUGCUGAACAAGAUACACAGUGACUCAAAGGCAGGUGCAGCAUUGCACAAUGGUCUCCAGGCAAACAGGGAUCUGCCACCAGCACACCCUGAGCACUGUUUUUGACAGAACCCCAUUUUCUUACCUGACAUUUGGUCUUACAGGAAAAACAGGGCAUGACUGUCUGUCCAACUUUCCACCUGUGUGUCCAUCUAUCUGUCGUUCUGUCUUUAGCAUGGUGUAUAGCUGCUUUUCUGUUCUAUCCCAUCUCUGAAUCACCAUCUAAUUCUGCUCCCUUGUUGUCCCCACUGUCACACCUCAUUUUUCUGCCAUUCACAGACUGUUUCUCACUUUCCUGCUUAGCACUUGCAUAUACUUUUCCUCAUGAUUUCCAUGGAAAUUUCCCCUUCAGAGAAACACUGAAUAGGGUGACACCACAUGAGCCUCCUCCUUCGUAUUGUUAUCAGACAAAAAUUCCGCCAGGGAUCCUAGCCGAAUUCCACUUCUUUGUCCUUCCAUACAGUCAGGCAGAGCUCUAGGCACACAAAGGAGAAGGAUGAGGGAAAUAUACUCCCAGCACACCUCGCCAGACACCUUCCCUGUGUCCCUUUCACCCCUUGCCACUGUCCCAGAUGUUAUUUAUCCCAGUGAUCACUGGGUUCCCCAGAUAUCCCAUGCAGACUUUGUGGAGCAGAGGACACGUGGAUUUUCUUCAGAGCAGAAACACCUGAGGGCACAGUGGAGAAGCUGCAGUGGCCUGGGUCUCCUCAGCCUGUGAGCAGAGCAGCACAGAGGAGUCCCUGGCAGAGCAGGAGUGAAUGAAUUUGCACUGUACA
This is a non-coding RNA of Taeniopygia guttata (zebra finch), 1718 nucleotides long. Lineage: Eukaryota; Metazoa; Chordata; Aves; Passeriformes; Estrildidae. The record is from the annotation of a RefSeq genome assembly.